This 73-nucleotide transfer RNA is filed under the name Rhipicephalus sanguineus (brown dog tick). RNAcentral's name for it is "transfer RNA valine (anticodon UAC)". It matches the Rfam family "tRNA". From Rfam's summary of the family: Transfer RNA (tRNA) molecules are approximately 80 nucleotides in length. The record is from Rfam by way of RNAcentral. Lineage: Eukaryota; Metazoa; Arthropoda; Arachnida; Ixodida; Ixodidae.
GUACUUGUGGUGUAGUGGUUAUCACAUCCGCUUUACACGCGGAAGAUCCCAGGUUCGAUACCUGGCAGGCACA